AUGCGGAUCUUAUGGAGAAAGAAAAGGUUGCAAGGACUAAUGUUGUGCUGGCCCAGGAAGCUACUCUUCUUUCUUGGCUCAAAAAGCCAAGCUUCUUGGAUUAAAUUUGGUGAUAGUAACUCUGCCUUGUUCCAUGCUAGUAUCAGGCAACAGAUUAACUCCAACAUAAUUUACUUCAUCACCUCCACUAUAGGUGACUGGCUCAGUAAUCCUCAAGAUGUGAUUAAGGAAUUCAUCACCUAUUACAAAGAUCUUCUUGGGACUGUCGUAUAG
Vicia faba (fava bean) is the source of this 273-nucleotide non-coding RNA. The record is from the annotation of a GenBank genome assembly. Lineage: Eukaryota; Viridiplantae; Streptophyta; Magnoliopsida; Fabales; Fabaceae.